AUUGAACGCUGGUGGCAUGCCUAACACAUGCAAGUCGAACGGCAGCACGAUGUGUAGCAAUACACAUGGGUGGCGAGUGGCGGACGGGUGAGUAGAAGUAGGGAUCUGCCUUAUAGAUUGGGAUAACUUGGGGAAACUCGAGCUAAUACCGGAUAAGCACUACGGUGGAAAGCAUGGGACCGAAAGGCCAUGCGCUAUAAGAUGAACCUACGUCGGAUUAGCUAGUUGGUUAGGUAAAGGCUGACCAAGGCGAAGAUCCGUAGCUGGUCUGAGAGGAUGAUCAGCCACACUGGGACUGAGACACGGCCCAGACUCCUACGGGAGGCAGCAGUGGGGAAUAUUGGACAAUGGGGCAACCCUGAUCCAGCGAUGCCGCGUGUGCGAAGAAGGCCUGCGGGUUGUAAA
RNAcentral lists this ribosomal RNA (405 nucleotides) under uncultured bacterium. Its description in RNAcentral is "bacterial SSU rRNA". It matches the Rfam family "Bacterial small subunit ribosomal RNA", at positions 30 to 429 of the family's 1533-position model. The record is from RNAcentral.